GCCCUCUUAGCUCAGUCGCAGAGCGCCUGUCUCGUAAACAGGAGGCCGGGAGUUCAAUUCUCUCAGGGGGCA
RNAcentral lists this transfer RNA (72 nucleotides) under Folsomia candida. It matches the Rfam family "tRNA". Rfam says of the family: Transfer RNA (tRNA) molecules are approximately 80 nucleotides in length. Their secondary structure includes four short double-helical elements and three loops (D, anti-codon, and T loops). Lineage: Eukaryota; Metazoa; Arthropoda; Collembola; Entomobryomorpha; Isotomidae. The record is from Rfam by way of RNAcentral.